UACCUUUAAGAUACUUGCCUUCUAAGUGGCGCAAUUAACGCAUUAACUUAUCCGCCUGGGGAGUCCGGCCCCAAGGUUAAAACUCAAAGGAUUUGACGGAUGCUCACAUGACUCGAAGUCACUGCGCGUGAAUGGUGCGUAAGCUGGCUGAAAAGAUCAGAGUGUGAAAUCCAAUGGCUCAACCAUUGAACUGCACUUGAAACUGAGAGCCUAUAGUUCAGAAGGGGCAGAUGGAAUUAGUGGUGUAGGGGUAAAAUCCGUAGAUAUCACUAGGAAUAUCAAAAGCGAAGGCGAUCUGCUGGGAUGAUACUGACGCUGAGGCACGAAAGCGUGGGGAGCAAACAGGAUUAGAUACCCUGGUAGUCCACGCCCUAAACGAUGACUACUAGUCGUCGGGAAUCUCGUCUCUCCGUAGACACACUUACCCGUUAAAUCGUCCCCCCGGGGGAUACCGGCCCCAAGAUUAAACUCAAA
This 474-nucleotide ribosomal RNA is filed under the name uncultured prokaryote. Its description in RNAcentral is "bacterial SSU rRNA". The stretch from base 49 to 474 matches the Rfam family "Bacterial small subunit ribosomal RNA", at positions 1 to 905 of the family's 1533-position model. The record is from RNAcentral.